Molecule: long non-coding RNA, 2604 nt
Organism: Syngnathoides biaculeatus (alligator pipefish)
Lineage: Eukaryota; Metazoa; Chordata; Actinopteri; Syngnathiformes; Syngnathidae
Exons: 2
Source: RefSeq, a predicted model, not a curated record
AGGCAAAUUUUAACCUUAAAUUAGUACAUCAUGUACUGGAGUAAUGUAAAUGUUUCUGUAGGGUAUUUUUUUUGCCUUUAUUUUUAAACAAAAAUAUGUAGAUAAGCAGACCCCCAGGGGAUCUCCAGCAGCAGUAGAAAUUUUGUCGACCAAAUUUUGUCAGCUUUUUAGUCAACUUCUUUUCAGCCCUAGAUCAAAACCCUCAUCUUUCUCUUCUAUAAAUGCAGUUUUGAAGUAGUAUUUUACAGUUCUAGAAUGUUAACUGAACCUCCUUUGGGUGUGAUUGCACUUGACAACUGAAAGAAUCCUCAGCUUGUCACCAUUCAUGUUUUGUAAUCCUGUCGUGCGUUUGCUGUUUUCUGAGAAUUUUAAAUGCCAUCAAACUUGCAGAACUAAUGUAUAACUACUCCUCUGGCAUAACCUGAUUAUUUGUACUUGCAGUGAAGUAAAUUAGUAUUUGAACACCCUGCUGUAUUACUUCUCCCACUUCGAAAUCAUGGACAGGUCUGAAAUUUUCAUCAUAGGUGCAUGUCCACUGUGAGAGAGAGAAUCUAAAAAGAAAAGUGCAGAAAUCACAAUGUAUGAUUUUAUUUUAUUUUUUUUUUUUUUUUUUUUUUUUUUUUUUGAACGAUUUGUGAUACAGCUGUAAAUAAGUAUAUGAACACCUGUCUAUCAGCUAGUUUUGAAUUUUAGAAUUCUGACCCUCAAAGACUUUUGGUCCACCUUAAGGGUUUGCAUGCCGCCCUAAAAAAACCCUAAAAUUCCGAGGGUGCUUUCCGGGGCCCCUAAAAGUCCUUAGAAAUCAUUGAAAACCGGUCAAGCCCUUAAAAAGGCCUUUAAAUUUAAAAAAAUAAAAUAAAAUAAAAUUGAGGACCUCUACUGCCAAAAUUCUCCCUUAAAAAAAUGUAUCUAUUUAAAAAAAAAAAAAGCGAUCAGGAAAUUGUCAAUAGUAGUCACUGUGUUCACAACUAGUUGGCAUCUUGUCGUCGAUAUUCCAUUGUUCGUUUCCGUGAGUAGGCAUUUCACUUCGUCUUCGUUACGACGCAGCUUAGUUCUUUGAUCGAUCCAACUUGUCAUGGGGACAUGCAUUCUUCAAGAUGCUUGGGCUGAUUUGAUAGACUGUCUCAUCUUCCGUUGGUAUGAAUCUGUUUCUAAAAUAUCAUGAUAGUAAAGCAUCAACUUUAGGCAGUGGUACUGCCAGUGCAUGCGCACCUACAGUUGUCCAGUCAUCGACUUCAACCAGCCAGAAGUCAGGCUUUAUGAACGUAGUUCAAUACACGAAGACGGACUCGUUAAAGGAAGAGAUCGUGUGGACUUCAAAAUUGAUUUGCAGCCAUUACAGUGACAAAUCUUGUGAAAAUAAUUCGAAAGUGUUUGCAGUCAUGUUCCCAGAUAGUGACAUUGCUAAAAACUACCACUGUGGGGAAGGGAAGACUUCGUACCUGGCUACAUUUGGCAUCGCUGCCCACUUUUCAUCUCUACUGCCUCAAAGCCAGAAUAGAGACUGACAUAUCUAUGCUUGUUGAGAAGGCUGACAGGCUGUGUGAGGAGGCAGAAGAAAAGAGGAAUCUGAGGUUUAUCAUCGAGGCCAAUGCACUCAAAGGCAGAGCAAAGGACAAGAGAGCCACUUUGGCACCUCUGCAGCAACAAAUAGAGGAGGCUAGACUCGUAGGGGUGCUGAGACAGACAUCAGUAGAAGACAUUUGUGCAUAUAGUUGCAAUUGUAGUGAGAAUCUGUUUUUCUGUAGACUGUUAUGUGAAGACAUUGACAAUGGUUAUAUCAAUGAGAACAACCACAAUGGGUGACAGGUGAUCGCUGUCACAGGUACUGAGGUACUGGAUCCUUUGAUGAACCAAGAACGGUUGAUGGCACCAUUAGAUCAUCUCUGAGUGGACAUGCACCUACGAUGAAAAUUACAGACCCAACCAUGAUUUUUAAGUGGGACAACUUGCAAUAUAGCAGGGUGUUCAAAUGUUUACUUUCUUCACUGUACAUCAUUUCCUUGCCAUGACCCAAGAAGCAACAUUAAAAUAUUUCUCCUUCCUGCUUAUAUAUUUACAGCCCCCUCCAAAAGUAUUGAAAAUGGAAGGUCAAUGCUUUUGUUUUUGUUGUAUACUGGAAAUAUUAAGGAUUCAGAUAAAAAAAUGAAAACAAUGACAAAAAUUUGAUGACAAAAAGUUAAUAAUUUUGAAGGUCACUGCAGAUUCUCAUUCCUAAUUUUUCUGGUUGUAAUUGUGAAUAUUACGGUAACAAUUUCCUUCACAAAGAACAAUUUACAACAGAACAUUUACACAAGUACAUGCAUUUCUAUAUAACAACUUAUAAAAAUGCAUUCAAUAAGUGCAAUACCAUCAACCUGCAUAGUAAAUUACAUUAAAUUGUCACAUUUAUAGGACUUUAUUGCAGCUUGGUUUGUACUUUAUUUUAUUUAUUUUAUUUUUUUGCUCAAUUUUCAUCCCUUGUCGAUGGGCAAGGCAGUGCCCUUUCAUGGCAUGUUGUCUUAAUCUGACAGGGGGAAAGCAAAUUGAUCAUAUUCAUCCCAGUCAUCUCUGGUUCAGUGAGUUAAAAAGGCUGGUUCAUGCUGUGGUCACAUUUGAACAAAG